CACGUAGGGGGCAAGCGUUGUCCGGAUUUAUUGGGCGUAAAGAGCUCGUAGGCGGCUUAGUAAGUCGGGUGUGAAACCUCCAGGCUCAACCUGGAGACGCCACCCGAUACUGCUGUGGCUAGAGUCCGGUAGGGGAGCGUGGAAUUCCUGGUGUAGCGGUGAAAUGCGCAGAUAUCAGGAGGAACACCAACAGCGAAGGCAGCACUCUGGGCCGGUACUGACGCUGAGGAGCGAAAGCAUGGGGAGCGAACAGG
This 254-nucleotide ribosomal RNA is filed under the name uncultured bacterium. Its description in RNAcentral is "partial 16S ribosomal RNA". It matches the Rfam family "Bacterial small subunit ribosomal RNA", at positions 524 to 776 of the family's 1533-position model. The record is from RNAcentral.